RNAcentral lists this ribosomal RNA (253 nucleotides) under uncultured bacterium. RNAcentral's name for it is "partial 16S ribosomal RNA". It matches the Rfam family "Bacterial small subunit ribosomal RNA", at positions 524 to 776 of the family's 1533-position model. The record is from RNAcentral.
UACGUACGAGGCGAGCGUUAUCCGGAAUUACUGGGCGUAAAGCGUGCGCAGGCGGCUUCUCAAGUCAGGGGUGAAAGCCCAGAGCUCAACUCUGGAAUUGCCUUUGAGACUGAGUGGCUUGAGUACGAGAGAGGUGAGUGGAAUUCCCAGUGUAGAGGUGAAAUUCGUAGAUAUUGGGAAGAACACCGGUGGCGAAGGCGGCUCACUGGCUCGUAACUGACGCUCAUGCACGACAGCGUGGGGAUCAAACAGG